Molecule: ribosomal RNA, 483 nt
Filed under: uncultured bacterium
Lineage: Bacteria
Description: bacterial SSU rRNA
Rfam family: Bacterial small subunit ribosomal RNA
Source: RNAcentral
AUGAACGCUAGCGGCAGGCUUAACACAUGCAAGUCGAGGGCAGCGUGGAGCAGCAAUGCUCUGACGGCGACCGGCGGAAGGGUGCGUAACACGUGAGCGACUUGCCCGUCACAGGGGGAUAACCGGCGGAAACGGCGACUAAUACCCCAUAUGAUGCGAUGCUGCAUGGCAUUGCAUUGAAAGAUUCAUCGGUGGCGGAUAGGCUCGCGGGACAUUAGCUAGACGGCGGGGCAACGGCCCACCGUGGCGACGAUGUCUAGGGGUUCUGAGAGGAAGGCCCCCCACACUGGGACUGAGACACGGCCCAGACUCCUACGGGAGGCAGCAGUGAGGAAUAUUGGUCAAUGGGCGAGAGCCUGAACCAGCCAAGUCGCGUGGAGGAAGACUGCCCUACGGGUUGUAAACUCCUUUUACCUGGGAAUAACGGGCGCUACGCGUAGCGCUGUGCAUGUACCGGGAGAAUAAGCAUCGGCUAAUUCCGUG